AAUAUUGCACAAUGGGCGCAAGCCUGAUGCAGCCAUGCCGCGUGUGUGAAGAAGGCCUUCGGGUUGUAAAGCACUUUCAGCAGUGAGGAAGGCGGAGUCGUUAAUAGCGGCCUCGUUUGACGUUAGCUGCAGAAGAAGCACCGGCUAACUCCGUGCCAGCAGCCGCGGUAAUACGGAGGGUGCGAGCGUUAAUCGGAAUUACUGGGCGUAAAGCGCAUGCAGGUGGUUUGUUAAGUCAGAUGUGAAAGCCCGGGGCUCAACCUCGGAAUAGCAUUUGAAACUGGCAGACUAGAGUACUGUAGAGGGGGUAGAAUUUCAGGUGUAGCGGUGAAAUGCGUAGAGAUCUGAAGGAAUACCGGUGGCGAAGGCGGCCCCCUGGACAGAUACUGACACUCAGAUGCGAAAGCGUGGGGAGCAAACAGGAUUAGAUACCCUGGUAG
This 440-nucleotide ribosomal RNA is filed under the name uncultured bacterium. Its description in RNAcentral is "bacterial SSU rRNA". It matches the Rfam family "Bacterial small subunit ribosomal RNA", at positions 360 to 793 of the family's 1533-position model. The record is from RNAcentral.